UGAGUAACCUGCCCUUAACUCUGGGAUAAGCCUGGGAAACUGGGUCUAAUACCGGAUAUGACUCCUCAUCGCAUGGUGGGGGGUGGAAAGCUUUAUUGUGGUUUUGGAUGGACUCGCGGCCUAUCAGUUUGUUGGUGAGGUAAUGGCCCACAAGGCGACGACGGGUAGCCGGCCUGAGAGGGUGACCGGCCACACUGGGACUGAGACACGGCCCAGACUCCGUACGGGAGCAG
RNAcentral lists this ribosomal RNA (233 nucleotides) under uncultured bacterium. RNAcentral describes it as "partial 16S ribosomal RNA". It matches the Rfam family "Bacterial small subunit ribosomal RNA", at positions 118 to 347 of the family's 1533-position model. The record is from RNAcentral.